RNAcentral lists this transfer RNA (71 nucleotides) under Loxodonta africana (African savanna elephant). It matches the Rfam family "tRNA". Rfam says of the family: Transfer RNA (tRNA) molecules are approximately 80 nucleotides in length. Their secondary structure includes four short double-helical elements and three loops (D, anti-codon, and T loops). Lineage: Eukaryota; Metazoa; Chordata; Mammalia; Proboscidea; Elephantidae. The record is from Rfam by way of RNAcentral.
GCAGGGGUGGUUCAGUGGUAGAAUUCUCAUCUUCUAUGCAGGAGACCCAGGUUCAAUUCCUGGCCAAUGCA